CGCUUUCACUCCUACGGGAGGGCAGCAGUGGGGAAUAUUGCACAAUGGGGGAAACCCUGAUGCAGCCAUGCCGCGUGUGUGAAGAAGGCCUUCGGGUUGUAAAGCACUUUCAGUAGGGAGGAAGGUAGUGUAGUUAACACCUGCAUUAUUUGACGUUACCUACAGAAGAAGCACCGGCUAACUCCGUGCCAGCAGCCGCGGUAAUACGGAGGGUGCGAGCGUUAAUCGGAAUUACUGGGCGUAAAGCGCAUGCAGGCGGCCUGUUAAGUCAGAUGUGAAAGCCCGGGGCUUAACCUCGGAAUUGCAUUUGAAACUGGCAGGCUAGAGUCUUGUAGAGGGGGUAGAAUUUCAGGUGUAGCGGUGAAAUGCGUAGAGAUCUGAAGGAAUACCAGUGGCGAAGGCGGCCCCCUGGACAAAGACUGACGCUCAGAUGCGAAAGCGUGGGGAGCAAACAGGAUUAGAUACCCUGGUAG
Molecule: ribosomal RNA, 473 nt
Filed under: uncultured bacterium
Lineage: Bacteria
Description: bacterial SSU rRNA
Rfam family: Bacterial small subunit ribosomal RNA
Source: RNAcentral